RNAcentral lists this ribosomal RNA (277 nucleotides) under uncultured eukaryote. RNAcentral describes it as "partial 18S ribosomal RNA". It matches the Rfam family "Eukaryotic small subunit ribosomal RNA", at positions 21 to 296 of the family's 1831-position model. The record is from RNAcentral.
UAGUCAUAUGCUUGUCUCAAAGAUUAAGCCAUGCAUGUCUAAGUGUAAACAAAUUUAUACUGUAAAACUGCGAAUGGCUCAUUAUAUCAGUUAUAAUUUAUUUGAUAGUAACUUACUACUUGGAUAACCGUGGUAAUUCUGCAGCUAAUACAUGCGUUAAAGCCCAACUUUUUGGAAGGGCCGUACUUAUUAGAUUUAAGCCAACUGGGGGUAACCUCAUUUAUGGUUGAUUCAUAAUAAUUUUUCGAAUCGAAUGUCUUUACGACGUCGAUGGUUC